AAAUGAAUAGACGGGGACCCGCACAAGCGGUGGAUGAUGUGGAUUAAUUCGAUGCAACGCGAAAAACCUUACCUACCCUUGACAUGUCUGGAAGAUUCAAGAGAUUGGAUUGUGCUCGCAAGAGAACCGGAACACAGGUGCUGCAUGGCUGUCGUCAGCUCGUGUCGUGAGAUGUUGGGUUAAGUCCCGCAACGAGCGCAACCCUUGUCAUUAGUUGCUACAUUUAGUUGAGCACUCUAAUGAGACUGCCGGUGACAAACCGGAGGAAGGUGGGGAUGACGUCAAGUCCUCAUGGCCCUUAUGGGUAGGGCUUCACACGUCAUACAAUGGUCAGGACAGAGGGUCGCCAAGCCGCAAGGUGGAGCCAAUCCCAGAAACCUGAUCGUAGUCCGGAUCGCAGUCUGCAACUCGACUGCGUGAAGUCGGAAUCGCUAGUAAUCGCGGAUCAGAAUGCCGCGGUGAAUACGUUCCCGGGUCUUGUACACACCGCCCGU
This 494-nucleotide ribosomal RNA is filed under the name uncultured bacterium. RNAcentral's name for it is "bacterial SSU rRNA". It matches the Rfam family "Bacterial small subunit ribosomal RNA", at positions 903 to 1397 of the family's 1533-position model. The record is from RNAcentral.